This 382-nucleotide ribosomal RNA is filed under the name uncultured beta proteobacterium. Its description in RNAcentral is "bacterial SSU rRNA". It matches the Rfam family "Bacterial small subunit ribosomal RNA", at positions 29 to 412 of the family's 1533-position model. The record is from RNAcentral. Lineage: Bacteria; Pseudomonadati; Pseudomonadota; Betaproteobacteria.
AUUGAACGCUGGCGGCAUGCUUUACACAUGCAAGUCGAACGGCAGCACGGGGGCAACCCUGGUGGCGAGUGGCGAACGGGUGAGUAAUGCAUCGGAACGUACCCUGUCGUGGGGGAUAACACAUCGAAAGAUGUGCUAAUACCGCAUACGACCUGAGGGUGAAAGCGGGGGACCGCAAGGCCUCGCGCGACAGGAGCGGCCGGUGUCUGAUUAGCUAGUUGGUGGGGUAAAGGCCUACCAAGGCGACGAUCAGUAGCUGGUCUGAGAGGACGACCAGCCACACUGGGACUGAGACACGGCCCAGACUCCUACGGGAGGCAGCAGUGGGGAAUUUUGGACAAUGGGGGCAACCCUGAUCCAGCCAUGCCGCGUGCGGGAAGAA